This 253-nucleotide ribosomal RNA is filed under the name uncultured bacterium. RNAcentral describes it as "partial 16S ribosomal RNA". It matches the Rfam family "Bacterial small subunit ribosomal RNA", at positions 524 to 776 of the family's 1533-position model. The record is from RNAcentral.
UACGGGGGGGGCAAGCGUUGUUCGGAAUUACUGGGCGUAAAGGGCUCGUAGGCGGCCAACUAAGUCAUACGUGAAAUCCCUCGGCUUAACCGGGGAACUGCGUCUGAUACUGGAUGGCUUGAGAUUGGGAGAGGGAUGCGGAAUUCCUGGUGUAGCGGUGAAAUGCGUAGAGAUCAGGAAGAACACCGGUGGCGAAAGCGCUCUGCUAGGCCGCAACUGACACUGAGGGACGAAAGCGUGGGGAGCAAACAGG